Molecule: long non-coding RNA, 234 nt
Filed under: Citrus sinensis (sweet orange)
Lineage: Eukaryota; Viridiplantae; Streptophyta; Magnoliopsida; Sapindales; Rutaceae
Description: long non-coding RNA (CSIN_LNC000133)
Source: RNAcentral
UUUAUCUUAUUAAUUUAUUUUUAGUUAAUUUAUUUCACGUAUUUAUUUUUGUGUAUUUUUAUAAAAAGGUUGUAAUAGCGCAAUAAGGUUAGUAUCGUAAUUUCUCCCUCUUAUUUAUUUUUAUUUGUUUUGUUCCCAUCUUUAUUUUCAUUUUAUUUGUUUUGCAUGCAUGGUCGUAGGUCAUUAUUACCUAAUCUUGAACCUAUAGACCUUGAACUAGAAAAAAUACUUCGC